Non-coding RNA from Danio rerio (zebrafish), 73 nucleotides. The record is from Rfam. Lineage: Eukaryota; Metazoa; Chordata; Actinopteri; Cypriniformes; Danionidae.
GGGGAUGUAUCUCAGUGGUAGAGCACAUGCGUUUGCAUGUAUGAGGUCCGGGGUUCAAUCCCCAGCAUCUCCA